Molecule: unclassified non-coding RNA, 286 nt
Filed under: Hevea brasiliensis (rubber tree)
Lineage: Eukaryota; Viridiplantae; Streptophyta; Magnoliopsida; Malpighiales; Euphorbiaceae
Source: RNAcentral
UUGAUUCUAAUAAUACAUUUAGACCAAGCAGCAGUGGUGAUGUUGAUAGCGAAGUCUUACUUAAGCCUGCUCCUAAGCCUGUCUUGAAAUCUGCUUCUCUAGUCUCUAAAGGUGAAUCCCUUUUAGGUAUGAGCUCUGUUGAGUUGGACCCUUCGAGGGAUUCUGAUGAUGAACGAGAGAGGAAUGAGGUGAUUGAGUCUCUUGGUGAGGUGUUGGAGAAGGCUGAAAAGCUUGAAACUUAUAAGCCAAGUCCUAGCACUACUAGGAAAGAUAAUGGAAGUGUAAA